CUACUGAUGAAGAGUCCCAAACUAGGACGAAAUAGCUGUCCAGUAC
This 46-nucleotide non-coding RNA is filed under the name Trichobilharzia regenti. Lineage: Eukaryota; Metazoa; Platyhelminthes; Trematoda; Strigeidida; Schistosomatidae. The record is from RNAcentral.